GAUCACCUCAUCCGGUCACGGUGUGUUAACUAUCACACUGGCCACAUAUCAAGUCCAGUUUUCUGGAGCACUGCCAACAUUUCUUGACCCAAAUUCUUGACCUUCGAGGAUUUUAAUUUUCGCUUUGAUAAAAGCAAAAUUCCGAUUUUAAUCAGAUCAAGAAAUCUUCAAAAUGAAUCAGAUUCUUUUUCUCGUUUUAUGCUCCAGUUUGCUGGUGUUUAUCGGUGUCCAAAGCUAUGGUGGUUACCAGGGAUACGGACAGAGCUAUCCCCCGUAUGACUAUUACAGUGGAGGAUACGGUUCGGGUUACGGGUAUGGCCUUGGUUACGGAUAUGGAUACAGUCAAAAUAAUAUCAAUCCUUUGGCAUACGGCCUUGUAUUCCUGCUGGCCCUGUGGGCCCUGAACGCUUCCGGGUUGAGAUCAGGUUGAUAAGACAUAGCAUUUCUUUAUGCAGGAGCUGAAGAGAAAAUCUGUCGAAGAAUGGUGGAUUGUACUGUGUCCGUUUUAAUUAUUAAUAAAUCAAUGUCCAUA
This is a long non-coding RNA of Pecten maximus, 532 nucleotides long. RefSeq lists it as uncharacterized. Lineage: Eukaryota; Metazoa; Mollusca; Bivalvia; Pectinida; Pectinidae. The transcript has 3 exons. The record is from RefSeq and is a predicted model, not a curated record.